AAACAUCUAUGCGCAUAGCUAGCAUAGCCUCUCGAAUGAGGGAGGCGUCAAACGCGUAGUGUAAGGACUUGCUAAUUUGUUUUUUUCUUUUUCUAAUUUUGGCACCUUUUGGAAGGUAGUGCCACACGUGUUCCGGGCUUGUUGAGCGCAAAUACACAUUGUAGCAUGCACUGUAGCCAUAACUGUAGCAAUGACUGUAGCUUGCUGAUAUCGACAUUCCAAGUAGGGAGUCCGAAGCGCCAUUGGCAUUGGCAAUAUGGCCGCCUCCACGUAUUGCAUUGUCGUAAGUGGCGGCUGUUUCGUCCUGCUGGUCCUGUAAUGUUUUCGUCGAAAGAACAGGACCGCUAGCGCAGCGCCCAACGACGUGUCGUAGUGCGGCACCACAUCCACUCGUAGCACGACCUAUCAAAUGCGCGCAGAGCGUUUUAUGUCGCGGAAAUAGUGUCACAUGAAGAGGACGUCGUCGCAACAGCUGUGCCGAAACUAGCAAGCGGCUGCAUACGUGGGCGUCGGCGAGGUGGGCUACACGGAGUCGGUGUACCAGGAGAUGACGAGCGCCUGCCGAGGGGGUGAACUGCACACUUACCAGUGCAACCUGUGCAGCUACAAGACCGAGCGCAAGGCACACAUUUUGCGCCACUUACGCAGCCACACGGGCGAGCGGCCUUUUGUGUGCAUUUACUGCGAUCGCUCCUUUGUGCAUAAGCACCACCUGGACCGACAUUGCAAGACUGCCCAUCCACUGUACGAACAAUGAGCUGUGGCAUCAGCGGCAGAAUGCUUCUUGCAUCAGGAAGUGCAAACUGACAGGCCAGUUUAUUUGGCAACAGUGUCUGAAUCUGAGCCACUUAGUAUGUGGUGAUGGCAAACUGUCAGCUGAAUUGUGAUACAGGAAGCAACAUGUGAAAAGAUGAGAUGCACUGCUGAAUAUCAAUUACGCACAAGUAUCCUUGUUGAAAUGUUGACGUUACCAACAUUCCUUUUCAGCAUGAAAUGCUUUUAGCUCCCGUUGGCGACCUUCAAGGGACCUUGAGCCAAAAGCCAGAACUGUUAUCCGGGCACUCAAACCAGAUCAUCCGGCACUCAAACGAGAACAUUCGCGCAUCAUUGCGAGAACAAAGACGAGAUCAUCCGGGCAGCCAGUCAAAAGUUAGGAAAAUUCGGUCUCUGGCUCCCAGCGCUUUGUACAGGACCGCAUUUCAUACACUAGAUAAUUCCCCAAACAAGUUACAAAAAAUAUUGCUUGUUAUUUCUUCCUAACGUUUGUUCACAAUACCACUCAAGCUGUAACAAUUAGUAUGCCGAAGUUUUAUUUGUCAUUUUCAAUGGUGACGUUCAAAAGGCAGAUAGAGGUUGCCUGUGUUCUUUUGAACACCAGCAGUCCGUGAGUCGUGAGCGGUCUGUGACAAGAAGAAAAGGUAGCGACAGAUGCUGAGCACGCUGCACUGUUGGAAGAAGAAAAGCGGUUGUAGGCGGAGGCACCACAGGCAGCAAAAGACACCAUAUGGUAGUCAUUUCAUGCUUACAUCUACUUUCGAUUGCGGGAGAGCCAGCAUUUUUCUACCAGUGUUUAUCACUUUUUCACAGAGCUUUACACACUUUUAUUCACAACAUUAUAUGUACAAGGGUCGUCAAAAGUUUCCAAGCCACAGUUUGCCCGAACACGUUGACUUCGUGCCCUGUGGCGUGUCAUGUAUCGGAUGUUAAGUGGCCCAAGGUUACUUGAAGAGGGUAAGGGACACUGAAGAAGGGUUAACCCUUCUUUAUGAUGCUUCCCGACCAGACAGGCUUCCGUCAAAACCUCGACUUCGGUAAGGGACACUGUUUAUCGCCAUCCACAGCUCGUGACGGCCAAAAUUACUCCAGGGGCCGCGCCACUUGCUUGAGAGUGAAUGUGUUCACGCAAGCUGUGGCCUGGAAACCUUUGACGACCCCUGUACAUAUAUGUAUAGUGUAGAGGAUGGGUGCACAUUUGGGUGAUUGAAAGGGCAUUUGUGUGUGUUAGUGCAUGAUCUGUUGUUUUGAGCAGCAAGGAAAGCCUCCUGCACAGAGAAAGUGAAGCUGCACAGUGCUGUCAACCAUGCUGAAACACCAUGUUGAUUAGCUGAAACGGUGAUUAGUUCCCCAGCACUUCUACCUUCCCAACUCUCCAAUACAUGUUUCACUGGGAGAAUAACAGUUGAUAGUCAGUGGUGUGUCCCAUACCUUUGUUGUGUCUCUUCUUUCACAAUUUAGCUGACAGUUAGCCAUAACCAGAUUAGUAUUUGGCUUUAAAGUGGCACAGCACAUCCUUGACACUUGGUACAAGACUGAACAGAAGAAAAGGGUAUCCAUGGGUAUAGAAACUAUGGCUUGCAUAGGGGACCUGUGAGCAGGUGCAGUGCCAUGAUUUUUUUGUUAUGGGUAAAGCUUAAUUCUCCAUUUUCAUUGGGGGUGCAAGAGGGUAACUCAAUCACUUGGCACUUCACGGUUGUAGGAGGGGUGAAAUUAGAGGCAAGAGGAAAUACUAGGGGUUGGACCCCAUCCUCUCUCCUUUUCUUGCCCUCAUUAACGCUUGUAAUGGUAUCUGGAUAGCGCAGCAAAACACGGACACAAGAAGAAACAAAGACAAAUACUUGUCUUCGUUUCUUCUUGUGUCCGUGUUUUGCUGUGCUAUCCAGAUACCAUUCCAUGAUGACCGACCAACAAGCCCAUAUCGCCACCCUCGUCAAUCUCAUUAGAGCCACCCUUGCCUGUGAGCAAUUUGCAGCUAUUUGCUUGGGAAGAAGCUUAAGACUGCAGAGCGGAUGGGAAGAAAAUAAUGAACUUAAGCCUAAGAUUAAGAGACACGAAGGAAGCAGUAUGCUUUCUUCAACAAAUGUGAGUAGCUGAAAUAGUAUUGAGAUUAAGGGAUGGAGUAGGGCAGGUCAUGUGCUGGAUAGAGCAGAUAACCAGCCCUCUCUAGAAGUAAUACAACUGCUAAUGAAAGAACACACACUCAAGGACAGUAGAGUAUCCCUCUGACAUCUUCGGCUGUGUAGUACAUGUGCAGGCAGAGGAAAGAAUAGGCUGACUUUCGGCAGAGGUAAUUGGAGAUCGCUGGGAGAGGGCUCCAUUCUGUAUUGGACUUGUGCGAGUUGAUGAUGAUGACUGUGACUUGCUCAGGCAAUAAUUUGUCAUUCUAACUUGACCUACAUGAUAUUACACCAGUUUCUGGCAAACUAGUAAUAAUGCUGUCAUGGCUACUUUAGGCAACCAGGACUUCAGGAGAUUUAGUGCCCCAAUGUUCUAACUAAGCAGUUAAAGGUGGUGUGAUGGUUGGCUUUAGACUUUUUCUUGACCACCUGAGAUCUCUUAAUAUGCACCUAUAAAUACACAUGUUUUUGCUUUGCUUCUUCUGUGAUAUUGGCCGUGGUUCCAUGAUGACCUAUGGACUUUUCAUGAUCUUGGGCUGUUGCCUCCUCUUGGUAACUAGGCUAGGGCAUUUAGCAAGGAGUACAGAUGGGACAAAGACUCCUUUGUUUAGGGUUUGGAAAAGCAGGUGAAGUGGAAAGAGAACAUUGCUUUAGGAUGAGCCGAACCAAUGAUGCUGAAAUGUGCAACGCCCACUUUGUGCAGGCCUUCAGGAGUACUGGUCAUUUUUCUGGCUCCUUGAAUAUGUCUGUGUGACCAGCCAGUUAACACAUAAUGCAAGCUGGUUGGGGACACAAUUAAUGUCACUUCGACUUGUCCUGUGUGUCGUCAUUGUGCUGUUUUUGCUUAAAAUUGUUGGUCAGAUCUGCAGUGAAGCAAGCUUUCCAAAGGUAGCCGUCAAGGACCUCCAUGAGGAAGGGACGUGCGGUGACUAAUAUUUAAUGAAAGAAGGCUCACAGACAGUUGAUGCAACUGCUGAAGUGCUUGUUGGAGUGAAUUAUGGCUUGGUACAGCAAGGUGCAAGUGUGCUGUGUUGAAGAUUUGCAUGUUUUGCUUAUGUGGCAAAGUUCUUGAUGUGGUAAAAAAGGCACUGCACAGCAGGGACCAUAUGUGCUCGUUUGUGAAGUAAAUGAAUAUAUGGGUCCAAACACCCACACAAAGACCCAGAGGUGGACUUUUUUUUCCAUAAGCUGACGCUCAAUAGAGAAGCACGUCUGGUAUCAGGCUGCACGAAGCAAGCCAUAUUUCUCGAACAUACAUAGUCCAGUGCCUUGAGCUUGGCUUUCUGAAAAGCUGGAAUAACCAUUCAUG
Molecule: long non-coding RNA, 4203 nt
Organism: Dermacentor silvarum
Lineage: Eukaryota; Metazoa; Arthropoda; Arachnida; Ixodida; Ixodidae
Exons: 3
Source: RefSeq, a predicted model, not a curated record